Solanum stenotomum is the source of this 1094-nucleotide long non-coding RNA. RefSeq lists it as uncharacterized. The record is from RefSeq and is a predicted model, not a curated record. The transcript is spliced from 4 exons. NCBI's taxonomy places the organism in Eukaryota, Viridiplantae, Streptophyta, Magnoliopsida, Solanales, Solanaceae.
GUUCCUUUGGUGCCGAAUAUUGCACACACAGAGGAACAAACAAGAGACUACAGCAAAGACUUGAACCCACAAGUAUGCAAUGGACAAAUAUCCUUGAUUUGGCGGCUACCUGAUCUCCCUUGCCAUUUAGCUUAGCAAGUAUUGCUCUCCGCUUACAAUCUUCUUUGGGGGUGUAAAGAAACCUAUUGUUUAGAGUUUGAACUUGUGCUUAGUAAUGGAAUCUUUGAGGCUCCAAUGAAAAUGAAAGACUCAACCCAACUCCAAGAGGCAUGAGCGGAAUUAAUUAUCACAAGUCCACCAUGGCCAAAGCUUGCUUCACGGAAAACAGACCAUUCUGGUUGGGGUACCUUGUACCUGUGAAUAAUUCGCCAUGACAUGUUCUAAUGUUGUCUUCUGACUUAAUGUGUUGUCCAAAAACACAACUUAUGAUCUGCCUGUAAACAAGAAUAUUCUAUUGCCCCAGUAUCCUGUGGCAUGCUUGCUACAUGUUGUUUCAGUAUUUGGGUGUAAGCUAUUAAGAAAUGAAGAUGGAGUUGAGGUAAAUGGAUGAGAGACCGGAGAGAGGCCAGCUGCAACAAUAGUGUCGUGUCUGUUAAAAUCAUAUCCAUGGAUGAACACAAUCUUAUGUUUUGCUUGGUCUCUUGGUGCGCCAUGUUCUUUGUAAGCUAAGUAUCGUCCAUCCCGAUGUUUAAUUCUAGGUGAUGUGACAGGAGGGCCAUCAGGGAUGCCACAAAUUUUCGAAGGAGAAAGCUGCAUUGCACGAUAAGCAUACGCCACGAACCCCACGAAGAGGACUGCUAGAAUUUUCCCAAGCAUCCCUGAAAUUUUUCCCCUUUACAAGCAUGGAAUAAAAUCUUAAAAGUAAGAAAACAGAACACAAUUGCUCUGUCAGAAGAACAUUUAUGCUUGUUGCUCGGGCUCUACAAAAAUAUAGGUAGGUGUGUGUUGGUCCUCUAUGCAUCUUUAAGGAUAACAUAUAGGUAAAACAACAUUUUUGGAGUGUCGAAUGAAGAAAGAUAUUGCUUUGAUAAUUUUAUUCGUGUCUCGACUUCAUUUUUCAUGCGACCAAUUUCAAGUUGUAAUUUCAAUUUGGA